This 341-nucleotide RNase P RNA is filed under the name Clostridium fallax. RNAcentral's name for it is "Bacterial RNase P class A". It matches the Rfam family "Bacterial RNase P class A". From Rfam's summary of the family: Ribonuclease P (RNase P) is a ubiquitous endoribonuclease, found in archaea, bacteria and eukarya as well as chloroplasts and mitochondria. Its best characterised activity is the generation of mature 5'-ends of tRNAs by cleaving the 5'-leader elements of precursor-tRNAs. Lineage: Bacteria; Bacillati; Bacillota; Clostridia; Eubacteriales; Clostridiaceae. The record is from Rfam by way of RNAcentral.
CGAGUAAGCCAGACAAUCGCUGCUGAAUUUAUUCAGGAGAGGAAAGUCCGAGCUCCAUAGGGCAGGGUGCUGGUUAACGGCCAGUGGAGGCGACUCUAAGGAUAGUGCAACAGAAAUAAACCGCCUAUUUAUAGGUAAGGGUGGAACGGUGAGGUAAGAGCUCACCAGCGUAUAGGUGACUAUACGGCUAUGUAAACCCCACUUGGAGCAAGACCGAAUAGAGAGACAUUAUGGGGCUGCCCGUCCCGUCUCUGGGUGUGUCGCUUGAGCCUAUGAGCAAUCAUAGGCCUAGAUAGAUGAUUGUCAAAUACAGAACUCGGCUUAUAGACUUAUCUCGUAUA